RNAcentral lists this non-coding RNA (62 nucleotides) under unclassified sequences. RNAcentral's name for it is "GP20-b RNA". It matches the Rfam family "GP20-b RNA". The record is from RNAcentral.
UGCCCCGCGCCGGGCGUAAUAAGGGCGCACCGCAGGUGAAGCAACCACCGUAAAAAAGCAUA